RNAcentral lists this ribosomal RNA (254 nucleotides) under uncultured bacterium. Its description in RNAcentral is "partial 16S ribosomal RNA". It matches the Rfam family "Bacterial small subunit ribosomal RNA", at positions 524 to 776 of the family's 1533-position model. The record is from RNAcentral.
UACGUAGGGUGCAAGCGUUAAUCGGAAUUACUGGGCGUAAAGCGUGCGCAGGCGGCUUUGCAAGACAGAUGUGAAAUCCCCGGGCUUAACCUGGGAACUGCAUUUGUGACUGCAUGGCUGGAGUGCGGCAGAGGGGGAUGGAAUUCCGCGUGUAGCAGUGAAAUGGCGUAGAUAUGCGGAGGAACACCGAUGGCGAAGGCAAUCCCCUGGGCCUGUACUGACGCUCAUGCACGAAAGCGUGGGGAGCAAACAGG